CUUCACGUCUUCAACACAGAGUUUUUGGCGGGAAAAUUUGUAAUGUUUCAUGUUUGGAGAAGACAAGAUGGCUGCCGGUUACUUCGUGUCAUCAAAGGGCAUUUUUGUUCACAAAUACCCGUUUAUUUUACGUUACAACGACUGGUUAGUUUUGGAAAUUAUAACUCAAUGGACAGGGAAAACGAUUCUGUUGUAAAGAGAAAAAUUCGGGCAGUCAUUGACUUAAUAUUGCGAUGUUAAUAUUUGUUGUGAAAGACGGCCGGAAAUUUCGCUACAUCGCUGUACUGGUUUAUACAAAAUUCUACUGGCAAUUUGACAUGGAUAAAGAGACAGCGCUUCAAUGAAAGAACAGCCUAUCUUAAUGGUAAGUUUUUAAAGGGUUUUCACUUUUCGGUAUCUAUAUUUUUUAUAGUUUAAAGAUGCUGUAUAAAUUCUGUAUUUAAGGUUCGUAAUGUUCCUAUAAAUGUAUAAUUAAACAAACGUUUUGUUUACAUUUUGAACUGCCAUAUUUGUAAAAUACGAUAUACUAACUGACUUGUACUGUGAAUGAAUAUAAACUCUACGUUUCAAUUCGAAAAAGUUGGAAAGAUACAAAAUUUGGGCAAUGUUGUUUAUAAUAUAUGAUGAUGUUUAUAUCUGCGGGUUUCCCCUUUGUUAUGAGCAGAACUGAUGCGCAGAACGGACUUUAAACUCUCAAAGCUAUACUUUAAUUUAAUAGAUAUUAAUUUAAUUUAAUACAAUUUUGGAUAACGUUGUUUUAUACAUCUCGUUGCUACCCAAUUCACAAAUUUAGGUAAAUCCCAUAUAUAUAUAUACGACUUUGAAACACCAUCGUACAUUUGUUUUAAAAUAAUUUAAAGAACGUAAUUUUAUCAUGUUUGGUAUUUCAAAUAUUAUAUAUUUGAAACAUAAAUUCAAAUAUUAUAUAUUUGAAACAUAAGACAUAAAUUUACAUGGCAAGAAAAGAAAUAUAAUGUACUUUACAACAUCUUGAGAGAAAACAUCUUCUGGUCCUUCAGAGCUUUUACAUAUCAAAGGGCUAUUCCAUUUAAUAUCCGUACCCCCCCCCCCCCUGUCGAGGAUCCCUGGAAUUCUUCAGGGGUAAAGGGUUUUGAGCUUGGAAUUCUUCAGGGGUAAAGUGUUUUGAGCUUGGAAUUCUUCAGGGGUAAAGUGUUUUGUGUUUGGAAUUCUUCAGGGGUAAAUGGUUUUGAGCUUGGAAUUCUUCAGGGGUAAAGGGUUUUGAGCUUGGAAUUCUUCAGGGGUAAAGAGGUUUGAGAUUGAAAUUUUUCAGAGCUUGGAAUUCUUCACGGGUGAAGGGUUUUGAGCUUGGAAUUCUUCAGGGGUAAAAGGUUUUGAGCUUGAAAUUCUUCAGGGGUAAAGGGUUUUGAGCUUGGAAUUCUUUAGGGGUGAAGGGUUUUGAGCUUGGAAUUCUUCAGGGGUAAAAGGUUUUGAGCUUGGAAUUCUUCAGGGGUAAAGGGUUUUGAGCUUGGAAUUUUGGAAUUCUUCAAGGGUAAAAGGUUUUGAGCUUGGAAUUCUUCAGGGGUAAAGAGUUUUGAGCUUGGAAUUUUGGAAUUCUUCAGGGGUAAACAGUUUUGAGCUUGGAAUUCUUCAGGGGUAUGACAAUGAAAAACAUGUAUCCUCGACAGGGGGGGUACGGAUAUUAAAUGGAAUAGCCCAUUAAGAAACACACAGCAUUACUUUAAUAAACUUAUUAAGCUUCCUAGCGUCUCAUAUAAACACUAUUCUGAUAUUUAUAUGCCAAUAACAAAAUGUAGAAUAACAAUGGUGCAGCAUUACCAUACAAGGUCACGAUAAGCUGUUGCCUAUAAUACUUAUAAUAAUAACACAACAAUCCAUGAUUUACCGUAAUUAAACAAGUUAAAAUAUAUCACUACCAGUAUCUUACAACAAUUCAAAAGUAUGGCAAGUGUUCUUUGGAGAAUUAAAGUCAUAAUAAGCUUUAAGAGAUGAAAAACAACCUAUCAUUAAAAAUAUAAUAUAAAUAAAAUAUAAUAUAAAUAAAAGAUUAUAAUCUGAAAGUCAUUUGCUCCAGGGCUUUAAUUUUCAUUUUUAAAUUAGGUUACAUGUGCAUUAAAUCCUGGCCAUUCUACCCCAGCCUUUUUCAUAUGGUUUUAAACCCUGGCUAAUUAUAUAUCCCCUUUUAUAUCAGUGUUAAACCCUGGCGGGUAUUGAAAAGGCAAUGCUCUGUUAAAAUCUUGUAUUUCCUCCACAAACUCCUAUUAAAACUUGGCCAUUGAGCCACAAUGCACCCUACUUAUUUUUUACUUCUCUAACGCCAGAUGGUUUUACUCGUCAAUGGGGAAGCUCUGCAGUUAUAUGGGUUAACCAAAAAAUCCGACAAUGUCCCUAGUUAGCCCAUUGAGCCGGCGUCCCUGGGUGCCCCAUUACAAGUAAAUCGUCUGGCAUUAAUACAAGUAAAAAAUAAGUAUGGUAUUUUUUACUUGUAUUAAUGCCAGACGAUUUACUUGUAAUGGGGAAGCUCUGUAGCUUAACAGGUUAAUGAGUAAAAUCACCUGUCAUUAAGUCAUAUUGCAAUAAUAAAGUUAGGAGCAUUACAGCUAAUCUGUCAAUCUUACUCAUCUUAGGCAACAGCAAUUCAACAAAAUACCAAUAUAUACAAGCCAAUCAAGUCCAGCAUAAUUGUCAUUUUGGAU
RNAcentral lists this long non-coding RNA (2675 nucleotides) under Paramuricea clavata. Lineage: Eukaryota; Metazoa; Cnidaria; Anthozoa; Malacalcyonacea; Plexauridae. The record is from RNAcentral.